RNAcentral lists this long non-coding RNA (296 nucleotides) under Ananas comosus (pineapple). RNAcentral's name for it is "long non-coding RNA (ACOM_LNC034336)". The record is from RNAcentral. Lineage: Eukaryota; Viridiplantae; Streptophyta; Magnoliopsida; Poales; Bromeliaceae.
GGUAAGGGGCAAAGGCGAAGACGAGCAGCGUGCUGAUUCGCAUGGAGAACUCCAAGACGAGGGACGUUUGGAGUCUAACCCCUAAGUCCAAGGUCGAUGGAUAUAUGACCUUGAAUCCCAGAGAGGGGAAGUUUAGUCGGAGGACUAUUUCCUUGAGAAGGAGUUAUAAGGUUGGCUACUGGACUCGUGGAACUUUGGUUAAGUCAGGGCGAAGUGGGCGUUGAGGCCGAGUAGCUCCAAUGGAGAGAACCAAGUUAUGGAGGAGUGCCAGUACAAUCUUGCAAUCCGAGGGAUUA